RNAcentral lists this ribosomal RNA (251 nucleotides) under uncultured prokaryote. Its description in RNAcentral is "partial 16S rRNA". It matches the Rfam family "Bacterial small subunit ribosomal RNA", at positions 525 to 775 of the family's 1533-position model. The record is from RNAcentral.
ACGUAGGGGGCAAGCGUUGCCCGGAAUUAUUGGGCGUAAAGGGAGCGUAGGUGGCUGAUUAAGUUAAGGAUGAAAUCCCGAGGCUCAACUUCGAAACUGUCCUUGAUACUGGUCAGCUUGAGGCUAGUAAAGGAGAGCGGAAUUCCCGGUGGAGCGGUGAAAUGCGUAGAUAUCGGGGGGAACACCAGAGGCGUAGGCGGUUCUCUAGUCUAGUCCUGACACUGAGGCACGAAAGCUAGGGGAGCAAACGG